UAAAGGAAAUAGUUGAUGUAAUAGAAAAAUUAAAAGGAGGAUCAAGCGUAACCAGCUUAGUAAACCAGUACAGUGUUGCAAAACCAACAAUUUGCGCUAUCAACAAAAAAAAGAGAACAUUUUAAAAUGUGUUAACAGUACAUUUUCUGGGUCUGGAAAGCGGAAGACUUUGAAGUGUUCUGAACUUCCUAAAAUGGAAAAAGCGCUUUACCGUUGGUUUCUUAAACAGCGACAAAAAAAUUACCCUGUCAAUGGAUUGAUAGUUAAAGAAAAAGCUAAAUUUUUUCAUUCAAUAAUUAAAGAAACUCAAAGCGAUUUUAAUGCGAGUGAUGGAUGGUUGCAACGCUUUAAGAAGCGUUAUGGUCAGGAAAUUUUUAAAAGAUCAAGGAUUGCCCAAUAAAGCUCUGCUGUUGAUAGACAAUGCUCCAUCUCAUCCUCCCGAAAAUGAAUUGAGAUCAGAUGACGAGUUAAUAACUGCAAUGUUUAUGCCACCUAAUGUCACUCCACUCAUACAGCCAAUGGAUCAAAAUGCCAUACGACUAACAAAGCUUUUCUACAGAAACAGUCUUUUGGCAUCAAUUGUAGCCACAGGGACUGAUGUUAUUGAAGCCCUAAAGAAAUUGACGUUAAGAGACGAUAUUGGCUAUUUAGAUUUAGCUUGGUAACGUCUUGAAAAGGAAACAAUAGCAAAAUGCUGGACGAACAUUUUAAGCUCCAUAGAAGAUGAAAAAGACUGUGAUGAGGAUAUUCCAUUAGCUACUUUGAGAGAAAGGAUUUGUUUACCAAUUAACAGCCAACAAGAACGCGCAAUAGAACUGCUUCAUUCAAUUAAUCCAGAGGUUAGUUUUUCAAUUGCUGAUAUCAAUGAAUGGACUGAAGAUUUUCCUAACUCAACCGAAACGAACGAGGUUUUAAUUAGUGAUGAAAGUGAAAGCGAGGAUAGUAAUCUGGAAAGACUACAUGCAAGAAUAGAGCCUAGUGAAGCGAUCAACAUUUUUAAUAAAGCUUUGGAAUGGGCGGAAGAUGAAAAUAUAAGUCCAACAGAUAUCAGCGUACUUAAAUG
Molecule: long non-coding RNA, 1063 nt
Organism: Bactrocera tryoni
Lineage: Eukaryota; Metazoa; Arthropoda; Insecta; Diptera; Tephritidae
Exons: 3
Source: RefSeq, a predicted model, not a curated record